UCGUAACUGUGUCUUUAAGUACUAUUAGUAACAAUGCCAAUGCCAUUCCAAACCCAUAACACCAGAGUGGAACACAAAAGGCGUUUUGAGGUUUAGAGUCAUUGCCCAUGAUGGACCUCAUCUGUAUUUACUGUAUGGGGAAAAAAAGAGUUUAAACAAAAUGUAAAAACAUUUAACUAAAUAUCUUCUUUUGUGUUCUACUCAACAAAGUGAUUCAUGUGGGUUUGGAGUGACAGAAGAUUUAUUUAGCCCAUUUCAAAAACCUUUUUUUUUUUUCAUAAAUCACAAUUAUGACGUCACAAUUGGAAUGUCAAUGCCACGAUGUGAUCUAUUUUAUUUAUGUUCAGUGGAACACAACAAUGGAAUUCAUUAUGUGGAGAAAAAGAAAUUGAUUCCUCUCUAGGAACAUUUUGUUCAGUUUGCCUCACCAUGUUGUGAUUGACAGGAUGCUAGAAUGAAGACUGUGUUCUCAUAUACAAGGUGGUGUUUUUGAAAUCGUUGUUUGGAUGUCCUCAGGUUGUGUCGUCGUGUAUCGUUCCAGUCCUGUUCCCGAUUCUAGUUCCUGUUCGGUGUCCUGUGAUGUUCGUCUUGUCUCGUCUGGAGAUCCACAGUCACCUGUCUUCACCAGCACGCUGACCACCUAGUACCUGCACCACCAGCCCACCCGAGCUCCAUUACCACUUUGUGUGUUUGUGUUACUCUAAUAAAGACUCCCUUGC
This is a long non-coding RNA of Cyprinus carpio carpio, 719 nucleotides long. The record is from Ensembl. NCBI's taxonomy places the organism in Eukaryota, Metazoa, Chordata, Actinopteri, Cypriniformes, Cyprinidae.